CAGUCGCAACAAGGUUUCCAGUAGGUGGAACCUGCGGAAGGGAUCAUUCAAACAAGGUGAGGGCUACCGAACGCUGGCAAAGCAGCGGGGUUAGGAGGCUUACACCCACCCGUGUUUACAUACUAUUGUUGCUUUGGCGGGCCGUGGCCUCCACUGCGGGCUCUGCUCGUGUGUGCCCGCCAGAGGACCAAACUCUGAAUGUUAGUGAUGUCUGAGUACUAUCUAAUAGCUAAAA
Molecule: unclassified non-coding RNA, 235 nt
Filed under: plant metagenome
Description: partial contains small subunit ribosomal RNA and internal transcribed spacer 1
Source: RNAcentral